RNAcentral lists this transfer RNA (85 nucleotides) under Vibrio parahaemolyticus. Its description in RNAcentral is "tRNA-Leu". It matches the Rfam family "tRNA". From Rfam's summary of the family: Transfer RNA (tRNA) molecules are approximately 80 nucleotides in length. Their secondary structure includes four short double-helical elements and three loops (D, anti-codon, and T loops). Further hydrogen bonds mediate the characteristic L-shaped molecular structure. tRNAs have two regions of fundamental functional importance: the anti-codon, which is responsible for specific mRNA codon recognition, and the 3' end, to which the tRNAs corresponding amino acid is attached (by aminoacyl-tRNA synthetases). tRNAs cope with the degeneracy of the genetic code in two manners: having more than one tRNA (with a specific anti-codon) for a particular amino acid; and 'wobble' base-pairing, i.e. permitting non-standard base-pairing at the 3rd anti-codon position. The record is from RNAcentral. Lineage: Bacteria; Pseudomonadati; Pseudomonadota; Gammaproteobacteria; Vibrionales; Vibrionaceae.
GCGGAAGUGGCGGACUUGGUAGACGCACCAGAUUUAGGUUCUGGCGCCGCAAGGUGUGAGAGUUCAAGUCUCUCCUUCCGCACCA